GCGAGGUAUGUGUCUGCGCGCGAGGUAUGUGUCUGCGCGCGAGGUAUGUGUCUGCGCGCGAGGUACGUGUCUCCGCGCGAGGUACGUGUCUCCGCGCGAGGUACGUGUCUGCGCGCGAGGUAUGUGUCUCCGUGCGAGGUAUGCGUCUCCGUGCGAGGUAUGCGUCUCCGUGCGAGGUAUGUGUCUGUGUGCGAGGAUCUCGGCGGGAUUGUGGGGGAGGGUGGUGUGUGUGAGAGAGAGAGCGAGCAACCUGUCCUGACCUGCCUCCUACGUAGCCCCGGACAAGAAACCCAAGGAGGAGGCGGGCGCCCCGAAGGACGGGGAAGGGUCCCCCAAAGGCAAGGAGAAAGACGCCGAGGAUCCCAAGCCGCGCGCCCUUCACAAGACCUGCUCCCUCUUCAUCCGCAACAUCGCCCCCAACAUCCCGCAGGCCGAGAUCGUGGCGUUCUGCAAAAGGUACCCCGGCUUCAUGAGAGUGGCCCUUUCGGACCCGCAACCGGAGCGGAGGUAAGGAUCCAAGGUCCCGUCGCCGUCCCGCCCUCCGAGCGGGAGUUUUUUUUGGGGGGGGAGGGGCUUGAUGGAAGCAGUGACACCCCCAUCAAGAAGAAAGGAAAGAAGAGAAGAAGGGAAGGAGGAAAGGAAGAGAGAAAUAGGAAGGAAGAGAAAGGGGAAGGAAGAAAGGAAAGAAGAGAAUGACGAAGGAAGGAAAGGAGGAAGAGAGGAAUAGGAAGAGAAAGGGGAAGGAAGAAAGGAAAGGAGGAAGAGAAUGAGGAAGGAAGAGGAAGAGAGGAAUAGGGAGGAAGAGAAAGGGGAAGGAAGAAAGGAAAGAAGAGAAUGAGGAAGGAAGGAAAGGACGAAGAGAGGAAUAGGAAGGAAGACAAAGGAGGAAGGAAGAAGAGGGAGGGAGGAAAGGAGGAAGAGAGGAAUGGGGAGGAAGAAAAAGGGGAAGGAAGAAAGGGAAGGAGGAAGAGAGGAACAAGGAAGAGAAAGGGGAGGGAAGAAAGGAAAAGAGAAUGAGGAAGGAAGGAAAGGAGGAAGGAAGGAAAGGAGGAAGAGAGGAAUAAGGAAGAGAAAGGGAAAGGAAGGAAAAGAAGAAUGAGGAACGAAAGAAAGGAGGAAGAGAAAGGGGAAGGAAGAAAGGAAGAAGAGAAUGAGGAAGGAAGGAAAGGAGGAAGAGAGGAAUAAGGAAGAGAAAGGGGAAGGAAGGAAGGAAAGGAAGAGAAUGAGGAAGGAAGGAAAGGAGGAAGAGAGGGGCGUAGGAAGGAAGAGAAAGGAGGAACGAAGAAGAGGGAGGGAGGAAAGGAGGAAGAGAGAGGAAUAGGAAGGAAGAGAGGAAGGAAGAAGAGGGAGGGAGGAAAGGAGGAAGGGAGGAAUGGGGAGGAAGAAAGGGAAUGAGGAAGAGAGGAAAAGGGAAGGGGAAGGGGAAGGAAGGAAGGAAAGGAAGAGAAUGAGGAAGGAAGGAAAGGAGGAAGAGAGGGGCGUAGGAAGGAAGAGAAAGGAGGAACGAAGAAGAGGGAGGGAGGAAAGGAGGAAGAGAGAGGAAUAGGAAGGAAGAGAGGAAGGAAGAAGAGGGAGGGAGGAAAGGAGGAAGGGAGGA
This 1597-nucleotide long non-coding RNA is filed under the name Notechis scutatus (mainland tiger snake). RNAcentral's name for it is "lncRNA (ENSNSUG00000004403.1)". Lineage: Eukaryota; Metazoa; Chordata; Lepidosauria; Squamata; Elapidae. The record is from RNAcentral.